UGGGGAAUAUUGGACAAUGGGCGCAAGCCUGAUCCAGCCAUGCCGCGUGAGUGAUGAAGGCCCUAGGGUUGUAAAGCUCUUUCACCGGUGAAGAUAAUGACGGUAACCGGAGAAGAAGCCCCGGCUAACUUCGUGCCAGCAGCCGCGGUAAUACGAAGGGGGCUAGCGUUGUUCGGAUUUACUGGGCGUAAAGCGCACGUAGGCGGACUUUUAAGUCAGGGGUGAAAUCCCGGGGCUCAACCCCGGAACUGCCUUUGAUACUGGAAGUCUUGGGUAUGGUAGAGGUGAGUGGAAUUCCGAGUGUAGAGGUGAAAUUCGUAGAUAUUCGGAGGAACACCAGUGGCGAAGGCGGCUCACUGGACCAUUACUGACGCUGAGGUGCGAAAGCGUGGGGAGCAAACAGGAUUAGAUACCCCAGUAGUCCCUGAGCGGGCUGGCAAGGCGCAU
This 447-nucleotide ribosomal RNA is filed under the name uncultured bacterium. RNAcentral describes it as "bacterial SSU rRNA". It matches the Rfam family "Bacterial small subunit ribosomal RNA", at positions 355 to 825 of the family's 1533-position model. The record is from RNAcentral.